RNAcentral lists this ribosomal RNA (117 nucleotides) under Chaetothyriales sp. MACp13b. RNAcentral's name for it is "partial 18S ribosomal RNA". The record is from RNAcentral. Lineage: Eukaryota; Fungi; Ascomycota; Eurotiomycetes; Chaetothyriales.
UAGAGGAAGUAAAAGUCGUAACAAGGUUUCCGUAGGUAAGUUAUAUCGAAUACGUUUCUGCUGUUUCCGUAACCAUGGCUAAUAUCUAUUAUAGGUGAACCUGCGGAAGGAUCAUUA